UGAUGAUGAUGAGGGUAAUUUUUUAGAAUACUUUUAAAUUUCUCCCAGGCUUAGUAGAGAUUUUCUCCUUUCUUUUUGUCUGAAAUUUAGAAUCUCGCUUCUCAAACG
Capsicum annuum is the source of this 108-nucleotide non-coding RNA. The record is from Rfam. NCBI's taxonomy places the organism in Eukaryota, Viridiplantae, Streptophyta, Magnoliopsida, Solanales, Solanaceae.